UAACUGGGAUUAGAUACCCCACUAUGCUUAGCCCUAAACUCAGACAAACCACAUACCCACUUUGUCCGCCCGGGAACUACAAGCACCAGCUUAAAACCCAAAGGACUUGGCGGUGCUUAACACCCCCCUAGAGGAGCCUGUUCUAGAACCGAUAACCCUCGUUUAACCUCACCCUUUCUUGCCUAUCCCGCCUAUAUACCGCCGUCGUCAGCUUACCCUGUGAAGGCCUCAUAGUAAGCAAAAUUAGUAAAACUCAAAACGUCAGGUCGAGGUGUAGCAUAUGAAAGGGGAAGAAAUGGGCUACAUUUCCUGCCCCAGGAAAUACGAAAAAUGUGUUGAAACACACACUAGAAGGAGGAUUUAGCAGUAAGCAGGAAAUAGAG
Molecule: ribosomal RNA, 383 nt
Filed under: Ecsenius minutus
Lineage: Eukaryota; Metazoa; Chordata; Actinopteri; Blenniiformes; Blenniidae
Description: partial small subunit ribosomal RNA
Rfam family: Bacterial small subunit ribosomal RNA
Source: RNAcentral